GAGCUUUUCCGUGCAAAAGGGAACUGCCAAUUAAUUGCAAAUGAUUUAAUUACUAUUUUGCUAUGCACAAUUAACAGCUGCAAAGCAUCCUCAGUUCACCUCUUUUAUCAUGUAAACGAGGUCCUUCUGGAAGUUAAGGCGAGGGCAAGGAGACGCAUUCAGGAUGCAGUCUCCUCUCUUCAUUGUUUGAUCACACCAAGAUAGAUGCUAUGCUUCAAAUAUUUGUAAUUGUGGAUCCAUUUAAAUCAUUAAC
RNAcentral lists this long non-coding RNA (253 nucleotides) under Pseudonaja textilis. RNAcentral describes it as "lncRNA (ENSPTXG00000011603.1)". The record is from RNAcentral. Lineage: Eukaryota; Metazoa; Chordata; Lepidosauria; Squamata; Elapidae.